CCUUUUGCCCCGGUAUCGGGUGCCCGACAGGGUUGUCGGGAGAAUAGGGAAGACGGUGUAACUCCGUCGCGGUCCCGCCGCUGUAACCGGGGACGACAGUCAGUUGAGAAGCCGAUGGAUUCCGUCCAUCGCUUCCGCCACUGCGACGCAGGUCGCGGGAAGGUCUGACUGAAGAACGAUCCGGAAGCCAGAAGACCUGCCUGAUAUCGCCGUCCGCC
This 218-nucleotide non-coding RNA is filed under the name Planctomyces sp. Lineage: Bacteria; Pseudomonadati; Planctomycetota; Planctomycetia; Planctomycetales; Planctomycetaceae. The record is from RNAcentral. RNAcentral also lists the same sequence under 1 other name.